This 288-nucleotide unclassified non-coding RNA is filed under the name uncultured Ganoderma. RNAcentral's name for it is "sequence contains ITS2". The stretch from base 1 to 52 matches the Rfam family "5.8S ribosomal RNA", at positions 103 to 154 of the family's 154-position model. Lineage: Eukaryota; Fungi; Basidiomycota; Agaricomycetes; Polyporales; Polyporaceae. The record is from RNAcentral.
AACGCACCUUGCGCUCCUUGGUAUUCCGAGGAGCAUGCCUGUUUGAGUGUCAUGAAAUCUUCAACCUAUAAGCUUUUGUGGUUUGUAGGCUUGGACUUGGAGGCUUGUCGGCCUUGAUCGGUCGGCUCCUCUUAAAUGCAUUAGCUUGAUUCCUUGCGGAUCGGCUCUCGGUGUGAUAAUAUCUACGCCGCGACCGUGAAGUGUUUGGCGAGCUUCUAACCGUCUCACUUGAGAGACAACUUUAUGACCUCUGACCUCAAAUCAGGUAGGACUACCCGCUGAACUUAA